GCAGGGGCUCGAGGAUUUCUGAGCGGUCCUGGAAAAAAUUUGCCCAGAGCUGAGGUGGGAAGCCAGCUACAUAAGCCCUGGGCAUUGGCUCCGCAGCCUCCUGCUCAUCCUGCUGGUGAGCAGCCGGUGACUCUGAGGGCCUUGGAAGAACUAUCUCAAGAAAGUCUUCGUCGGACCGAACAGAGUAAAUGAUGCUGCUGAUAGCCUGCCUGCACAGCGGGCACGAUGGUUGCCUCUUGGCCCAACGCACAAUGCAGCCCAGGCAGAACAGGUGGACGCAGGGUGUUACAGAAGCGAUUUCAGCUGGAAUGUCACGGCAGAUGGGGCAGUUCCACUCGGUGGCCAUGCUUGCGUGUUGUAGCAGAGCUGGGGACAGCAGCUGCUCCUUCUUUGUUGGCGUAACACUCUGAAAAAUGGUCACUUGCUGUCCCAGGGAAAUGGGCAGGUAGAAGAAAUGCCCAAGCCCCUCAAGAAGGACACACUCACAGCUCCCCAGACACCAUCACCCACCCCAGGGCCACCCUAUGGAAGCACAUUUCCUGCACCACUCACCUGUGCUGCUGCAAGCACCAGCCACAGUACUUAGCUUCCUGAACCAGAUAGGGCUAAGGAAACGGUCAAAGUCUUGUGCAUGAGAAGUGAGAGUUGCUGACAGCAGCUCCCAAUGGCCUCACAGGCUUCCAGUCCUCCCAGGCACGCUUGCCAGGAGUCCAGACACGAGUGAGUCUGAAGCAGACACUGCCCGUGCCCAAACAUAAGCAGUGAGGGAUGUGAGGUCACAGUGCAUUGCUCACUUAGGUUGCCAACCAUGGAGUGUGGGGACUGCUGAUGUCAUGGUCCGCUCUUCUGUACUGGCAACCUUGACUGCCUUCCAAAUCUGCCAUAGCAUGUCUUUCUCCCCUGCAGGUACAUGGCAUCAGGAGAAAAAAUGGGCACUGAGCAUGACCACUGUUCAGGGCUCCUUCAGUCCCUUUUGGCUGGGUUGCUGCCUGCUGCUUACGCCCCAUGAAGAUGGUCUGUCAUACCCUGCAGCUGUGGGCAAGAAGCUUUCCAGACUCCCAGGGUGGGUCCCAAGGGUGGCCUGGGGGUUGCUUCUUGUCCUCCUGUAGCACUGGCAACAGCCCCUGUCAGGGCUCCUCUGGGCUCCUGUGACUCCGUUCUUGCCUGCUGCCCUCACACCUCCAAGGCACCACUUGUGCCCUGGCUCUCUCUGGCUCUCUUGCCCAUUGCAAACCUGGAGUGGGGCUGAGCUCUGCUCUUUCCUUGGC
RNAcentral lists this long non-coding RNA (1268 nucleotides) under Taeniopygia guttata (zebra finch). Its description in RNAcentral is "lncRNA (ENSTGUG00000027243.1)". Lineage: Eukaryota; Metazoa; Chordata; Aves; Passeriformes; Estrildidae. The record is from RNAcentral.